GAUGAACGCUGGCGGCGUGCCUAAUACAUGCAAGUCGAACGCAUUUUCUUUCACCGUAGCUUGCUACACCGAAAGAAAAUGAGUGGCGAACGGGUGAGUAACACGUGGGUAACCUGCCCAUCAGCGGGGGAUAACACUUGGAAACAGGUGCUAAUACCGCAUAAUGCAUCGGAUUCGCAUGUUUCUGAUGCCAAAGAUUUUAUCGCUGAAAGAUGAGCUCGCGUCUGAUUAGCUAGUUGGCGGGGUAACGGCCCACCAAGGCGACGAUCAGUAGCCGGACUGAGAGGUUGAACGGCCACAUUGGGACUGAGACACGGCCCAG
RNAcentral lists this ribosomal RNA (322 nucleotides) under uncultured bacterium. RNAcentral's name for it is "bacterial SSU rRNA". It matches the Rfam family "Bacterial small subunit ribosomal RNA", at positions 28 to 334 of the family's 1533-position model. The record is from RNAcentral.